Acanthopagrus latus (yellowfin seabream) is the source of this 1466-nucleotide long non-coding RNA. RefSeq lists it as uncharacterized. Lineage: Eukaryota; Metazoa; Chordata; Actinopteri; Spariformes; Sparidae. The transcript has 5 exons. The record is from RefSeq and is a predicted model, not a curated record.
UCUUGAGUUCAGGGUGUAAUGGGCUGUAAUGUGCUUUGAAAGUAAAGGAGAGGCUGAAGAAGAGAAUUGUGUGUGUGCGUUUGGCUUUUAAGAGCAAGAUGGAUGGAUAAUGGGUGGAAGGAGAUGUCUGCAGUGCCUUUCACGUGUUCCUCGGACGAUGCUGUUUCCCAGGUUUGGGAGUCUUUCUUCCAACUUCUAUGAGAUUUCUGCCAAAGUUAGCAUGCUUCCAAGCAAGCAACAGCCAUUCCGGUCCAACGUUUCUGGGCUAGUGGUGUAAACACCAACUCUCCCCAGGUGCACCGAGUUUCCAGCCUGCACCAUUAGGUGUGCGGCUGAUCAAGCUUCCCAGCAUACAGCGGCUACAGAUAGCAGCAUUUAGUGGCUACUCUGGUGAUAUGCCGUCCCUUUGUUUUUUCCUCCAUCCUUCCCUCGUGACCACACAGAGCACUGGAGUCUGUCAUGCAUUAGGACGAACUGGGUCUCACUCGUUUGUCCCUGGAGCGUUUCCUGUCUGCAGAUGAUUGGAUGGAUGGAUGGAUGGAUGGAUGGAUGCCAAGGGACUCUGAAACUGAAGCUCCAAUGCCGCCGUGAGUUCAAGUCAGCUGGGAACUGAGCGGUUGUUUACGUCUAAAACGAUUUCUGUUUUUACCACGGGGUGAUCACCGAGGCGCCAUGAUCAUGAAGAGAGAAAAUCAGACAUUUACAGAGGAUGACUGAUGAUUUUCCCCAACAUGCUGAUGCUGUUGUCUAAACCAACGAGUAUUGGGAGCAGCUGUACCCAAAACAUUUCCUCUACGUGGUUUGAGGCCGAUCCAGUACCAGCUGGCAAGAAAGCGAUGGCAGAGCGCUGCGGUAAGGACGCUCAUGCAGUGGCUCGGAAUCAAUGUCAUGCAACCUCAUACCUCCAGUCAGUCAACUGACCAAAUGAAAGCAGAUUGAUUUCCAUGCCAAUGAAUAUCACUCAUUCUCUGAACAGGCGGCACUUUGUAUUAUUUUCUACUGCCAUGAGGUGUGAUGCUCAAAGAUAUCUGUGAGGCUGUAGUCAAGAUGCAGUACACAUAGAAGGAAACACAACUACAAGAUCAAAUUCAGUCAAUCCAGAGCAACAGUAAAGAAAUGAUCUUAUUUUAGAUUAGCAUAGCAUAGCAUCUCUGUUCUGUUGCUGCAGAGCUUGAUAUUGUCCUGAUGUCUACUUGAAAAUGUCCGUUGUUGUUGCUCAAACACGGUGGGAAAAUACAUUUCAGACCUACUGCCGUCCUUUCUUCCUCCUGAUAUUAAGGUUCAUUCGCUCGUCAAUUCGUCGGACAGGAUGGAACACGUAUUGUAGAAAUGUCAAUAUAAAAUGUAUGAGACUUAUAAAUUGGACAUAUCUGUAGUUUGCAGAAACAUAUAAUGCCAACAUUUUAUUCUGGUGUCUGGGCUGUGUUAGUUUAAUACGUAAUAAAAAAGGUGACGUGUAACUGUAA